UACGGGGGGAGCAAGCGUUGUUCGGAUUUACUGGGCGUAAAGGGCGCGUAGGCGGUCGUGACAAGUCACUUGUGAAAUCUCCGGGCUUAACCCGGAAAGGUCAGCCGAUACUGCGGGGCUAGAGUGCAGAAGGGGCAACUGGAAUUCUCGGUGUAGCGGUGGAAAUGCGUAGAUAAUCGAGAGGAACACCUGCGGCGAAGGCGGGUUGCUGGGCUGACACUGACGCUGAGGCGCGAAAGCUAGGGGAGCGAACGGG
Molecule: ribosomal RNA, 256 nt
Filed under: uncultured bacterium
Lineage: Bacteria
Description: partial 16S ribosomal RNA
Rfam family: Bacterial small subunit ribosomal RNA
Source: RNAcentral